This 1179-nucleotide long non-coding RNA is filed under the name Carassius auratus (goldfish). Its description in RNAcentral is "lncRNA (ENSCARG00000033671.1)". Lineage: Eukaryota; Metazoa; Chordata; Actinopteri; Cypriniformes; Cyprinidae. The record is from RNAcentral.
GCUGGUGUAUGUGAAUGUUUUUGUGUUUGAGUGUAAGAGAUCAACCAUCUAUAACUAUUUGGCCCUCAAAGCGUGCACAAUUACUGCGGCACAACUGCCACUUGCUUCAGAUCCAAGCAUUCCAAUAAAUCAGCAGGGAUCGAACCUCAUAUGUGUAUUUAUUUUAUUUUUAUCACAUGCUGUUAAUAUGCAAUGUUUAUAUCGGGUUCUUUGUACAGCAUUAUUAUUAACUAUGCUUACAUAAUGCUUUCAAAAAUGAUCAAGAGCUUCUAUAUCUACAGUUAGUUAUUUUAAAACAGUCUGCUUGAAUAUUCAUUGAUCAGUCCUUUUUCAAAUGCAAGAAUAUUAGAUAAUAGUGCAUUGUAAAUCAAGACAUGGGAGUAUCAUCUUACUGGAGGCAAAUAUAUUUUGUACCAUUCAUGGUUUUUGAGACUUGUACUCCGAGUCUGCUUCAGAAAAUAAAUAGUAAAACUCAUUAAGCCUGUAGAGGGAGACAUAACACUGUUUAAAUGACCUACUGCGGAAUCAUGCAGAUGUUUUGAAAUUAUUCAUUAAGAAAUGUAAUACGCCACCAACAUGGAAACUUCUAAGAGGUGAACAAACCGCCAUUAUAAUGUACAACAUGUACUGACUGGGUUCUCUACCCCAAAAAAGAUGAUUUUCCUCUACCUUUGCCUCUGCUGUCCGUCCUCGCACAUUCAGAGCAGCACCACUCAGGUAAGAGCUGAAACCAGCAGGAGAGGAGGAAUGGAUCAAGGGAAUAUCAGAGUAAAUCUUGGUUGAACAGCGUAAUAAUAAAUGCUUUCUGUUUCAGAGCUUAACCAUGAAAUUCGUGGCUCUUGCACUGACAAUCUUCUUGGCUGUGGGUAAGUAACGUUAUGAUUUUUCUUUAGUAUUUUAAAUUUACUUCAUGCUUAACUAAUUAAAAAUAUAAUGUCAGCUGAAUAAAUGAUUUUGUUAAUGCCUUGUUUUUUAAAUGUGGACUAUUUGACCACCUGUUUCUUGAAAUAGUUUAAAGUCUUCGCUGUCUUCCUUUUGGUGUCUGAAUCUUUUCCUGUGUCUUCUCAGGUUCCAGGCCAAUUUCCUGCAGGCUGAUGCUCCUUCUCAGCUGGACGCACUUUAGUCAGCAGCCUUGGUGUACCUGACCCAGGUCAAGGAGCAGACUCAGAAGGCCCUCGA